AUACGUAGGUGGCGAGCGUUGUCCGGAUUUACUGGGCGUAAAGGGAGCGUAGGCGGAUUUUUAAGUGAGAUGUGAAAUACUCGGGCUUAACCUGAGUGCUGCAUUUGAUACGUGUAGACUAGAGUGUGAGAGAGGGUUGUGGAAUUCCCAGUGUAGAGGUGAAAUUCGUAGAUAUUGGGAAGAACACCGGUGGCGAAGGCGGCUGUCUGGUCUGUAACUGACGCUGAGGCUCGAAAGUAUGGGUAGC
This 247-nucleotide ribosomal RNA is filed under the name uncultured bacterium. RNAcentral's name for it is "partial 16S ribosomal RNA". It matches the Rfam family "Bacterial small subunit ribosomal RNA", at positions 523 to 769 of the family's 1533-position model. The record is from RNAcentral.